UACGUAGGGUGCAAGCGUUAAUCGGAAUUACUGGGCGUAAAGCGUGCGCAGGCGGUUUUGUAAGUCUGUCGUGAAAUCCCCGGGCUCAACCUGGGAAUUGCGAUGGAGACUGCAAGGCUAGAAUCUGGCAGAGGGGGGUAGAAUUCCACGUGUGAGCAGUGAAAUGCGUAGAGAUGUGGGAGGAACACCGAUGGCGAAGGCAGCCCCCUGGGUCAAGAUUGACGCUCAUGCACGAAAGCGUGGGGAGCAAACGAGGAUUAGAGUACCCCGGUAGAUCCGAACGACCAAGUUCCCGU
RNAcentral lists this ribosomal RNA (296 nucleotides) under uncultured bacterium. RNAcentral's name for it is "partial 16S ribosomal RNA". It matches the Rfam family "Bacterial small subunit ribosomal RNA", at positions 524 to 814 of the family's 1533-position model. The record is from RNAcentral.